RNAcentral lists this ribosomal RNA (251 nucleotides) under uncultured prokaryote. RNAcentral describes it as "partial 16S rRNA". It matches the Rfam family "Bacterial small subunit ribosomal RNA", at positions 525 to 775 of the family's 1533-position model. The record is from RNAcentral.
ACGUAGGAGGCGAACGUUAUCCGGAUUUACUGGGCGUAAAGCGCGUGUAGGUGGUUCUGUAAGUAGGGCGUGAAAGCUCCUGGCUCAACUGGGAGAGGCCGUUCUAAACUACAGAACUAGAGGAUGGUAGAGGGAGGUGGAAUUCCAGGUGUGACGAUGGAAUGCGCAGAUAUCUGAAGCAACACCAGUGGCGAGGGCAGCCUCCUGGUGCAUUCCUGACACUCAGACGGGAAAGCUAGGGUAGCGAACGG